UCCAUUCUGGCUCAGUCGGUAAAGAAUCUGCCUACAAUGUAGGAGACCUGGGUUCAAUCCCUGGGUUGGGA
This 71-nucleotide transfer RNA is filed under the name Ovis aries (sheep). It matches the Rfam family "tRNA". From Rfam's summary of the family: Transfer RNA (tRNA) molecules are approximately 80 nucleotides in length. Their secondary structure includes four short double-helical elements and three loops (D, anti-codon, and T loops). Further hydrogen bonds mediate the characteristic L-shaped molecular structure. tRNAs have two regions of fundamental functional importance: the anti-codon, which is responsible for specific mRNA codon recognition, and the 3' end, to which the tRNAs corresponding amino acid is attached (by aminoacyl-tRNA synthetases). tRNAs cope with the degeneracy of the genetic code in two manners: having more than one tRNA (with a specific anti-codon) for a particular amino acid; and 'wobble' base-pairing, i.e. permitting non-standard base-pairing at the 3rd anti-codon position. Lineage: Eukaryota; Metazoa; Chordata; Mammalia; Artiodactyla; Bovidae. The record is from Rfam by way of RNAcentral.